AUGCAGGUAAUUAUGAUAGCUGUAGAAAUAAUAUUUACUUUAAAUAAUCCUGAAAGAAAAUUUACUCUCUUACAAAGAGAUCGCUUUACCCAAGAGAGUAAAUUAAGCCCGGUUUUAUAUUCUUUAUACUUCUUAUAUUUAGAAUCUGACCUUAGUCAGAAGUGGAAAUUUAUUUUCAGUAGAGUAAAUUUGGAAAAGUUAGUUUCUCAGCCUGGUCUAAGAAUGGAACAACGUUUUAAAUAUUUUUAGAUAUGAGAAGGUGGUUACCUUAUCAUUCACUCAUAUACUUCUUUGGUUAUUAGUGUUUACUGUUGGAUUAUUCUGUAUCAGACACUGUGCCAGGAAAUAUAAGGAAUAUAACUCAUUGUCCCUGCUUUUGAGGAGUCCACAUGAACUUGGAAGAAACAAGUAAAUACAAUGUGAUAUGAUAAUUUUGUUAAUGUAAGAUCAGUACUCUGGGAGAAUGACUUUUUAUAGGCUUCAGAAAUAAGGUGAUAUUUUAAGUGAAUUUUGGUUUUUGUUUUGACUACACCCACGGCAUGAGGAAGUUCCCAUGCCAGGGAUCAAACCCAUACCACAGCAGUGACAAUGCCAGAUCCUUAACCUAUUGUGCCACUGGAGAACCCUUUAAGUGAAUUUUGAAUGAUGAAUAGGAAGUUAAUGAAAGAGAGGUGAGUUAUGAGGGGAAGUAUAAAACCACCCUUUAACCUGACUUGUUAAGUGAGGAGCUUGCUUGCUUGGGGAGUAUUGUAUAGAGCCAUAGCUGAUGAAAGUGGCCUUUGGCCAAAGCAAAAGGUAAAACUGAUUAUAUAGGAGAGAAUCAGAGGUCACUUAACAAAAGAUGUAUUUUUAAACAGGGCAUCUCUUUCUGGGAUGGAGAUUAGAGGGUUGAUUGAAUAGAGCAGGAAGCAGUGAGUGAACCAAACAAAUUGGAAGGUAAUGGUUGAGAGCACGUAUCUGGAAUAACAGACUUAAAUUUUAGAUGUCAUUAGAUCUUAUUUGUCAUCGAAAUCUGAUAACAGAAGGGACAGGUGCAUUUAAAGAGCCAAAUAUAUGGUACAAAGCAAGGCUAUGGAGAGAAUGAUAUUUUUGUUAACUGGAGUAGGGAGGAAAAAUAGAUUAGGGUGGUAGGUGGAGGAGAGAGAAGGAUUUUAGUUUGGAACAUACUGCCUGUGGAAUAUGUAUGGAGAGAUACACUGAAACAUAAAUGUUUUGUUUACUCAUUUGUCAUACAGAACAGAUAAUGUUUUGCCCUCCCUAGUCCACAAGGAUGUUGUAAGGCAUUACACGAAAGACUAGAAAUGGAAUAGCCUUGACAAAUAGAAAACAAUGUACAAUGGGCAGAGUUAUUUGGGUUAUAUUUGCUAAGUGCACGUUUUCCAAGGAAGAAUGUCAAGAAAAGCUAAUCAUAGAUAAAUUAUGCACUUUAACCACUUGCUGGGCCAGGCUUUACUUGAAGGGCAAGAAUGUCAUUUGAGUAUAAGAACUCAUUACUCAUAUAGAGACAUGUUCAGCUUCUUUUUCAAUGCAUACUACAGCUUCCAAGAGCAGUUUCUAGUGGAGUUUAAUGAAAACAUAGCAGAGAGAAUGAGAAUAUUUAUUUUUAUUAUUUUUGGCUCAUAUUGGAGUGGGAGCUAAUGGAUAUCUUCUUAAAAAAUCAAACAAAAUCUCUCUGAUGGAAGCAGUCUCAAUUCUCUACUCAGCAUGACUUUAUAUAAAUGUGGUUGGAGUUUUUUUUUUUUAAUAAAAAUCAUUUUUCUGUAACUGUAGAUUACAUGCAUAUCAACUGCAAUGACUUUUAAACCAAGGCAAGUGUUGUAAUCUUUCAUUGUGCUGUAUGUGUGUUGCUGUGGUAACUAGUUUCAGAAGAGGAGUUUGCAGUUAUAUUUGAUGGAACACACCAUAUCUGCUCACUUUCAUUCAGAUUCUAAUAGUGCUGCCAAAAGGCUGCAUUAGAAUUAUGAGAAUGUUCUCCAUACUCAAAUAGAUGUAGGACAGGCCUCAUAGUAGAGGCUUUGGCCACCAGAUCUGGUAAGAGUGUGCUCUAAAGGUUAGAUCACGUAAAAUAAUUGGAUUGUAUUUGGUCCAAAAAUUUAAAAGUCCCUUUAGAGUUUUUCUUGGUUUGGUUUGUUUUGUUUCAUUUUAAGGAACAGCUUAAUCUUGAGUUCUCAUGGAGGAAAAAAAAAAAAAUUACUGAUAAUGCCAGGAUGUUAAUUUCUUUCCUGUCUGAAACAAGCCAAAUUCUUGAGGAUUGCAAGACGGAGGACAGACACUCAGUGUUUGUCAUAUAGAUGCUUAAUAAAUUUGGGAUUAAAAUUAUAUUGACAGAGUGGGGAUCUUUUGGGUCGUGGCUUUCUUUGAGAAUGUGGUGAAAGCUGUAAGUCCCCCACAAAAAGAAUGUAUCAGCACAUAUAAUCACUAAUUUUAGCAUGUGUUUUCAUGGAGUUCAGUCAUGCCCAGGAGCACAUCCUUGAACUCCAAGUUAAAAAAAAAAUUUAGUAGUAGGGAAAUGUUAAAUAUUUGAUCCGUGGAUUUCUAGGAACAGAAAGGAAGAGGUAAAUUUUUUGUGUGGCCCAGAGGAUGACUGAAUUUACCUUGACUGUCCCACCUAAACAUCAUCUACCCAAUCCUGCCCUUAGCAAACAUCCAGUCACACUUUAUGAGAUAAGCUCAUUUAUUUCCUUUACAGCAAUUAGUAUAGCCCAAACUUAUUUCUCAUCAGCAUUUCUGUUGCAGCCUGUUCUUACUGGAACAUAAGUGCCUGAAGAUUUUAUAAAUAUGCUAACAGCUAUAUCUCUGGCAUCUAUAAAUUAUCCGACACAGUUUUGUUUAGGGAUUUUUAAAAUAAAUGAAUAAAUAAUACAGUAUUAUCUAGUUGGAAAGCCCAUAAACUGCCCCUUGGUAACAUAUAUGAAUUCACGUGAAGGCAAGAAUGGUGUAGGCAAAGAGCUGGCUGGAUAUGUACUACCAAGAUCAGCAUUUGGAUACAUUUCUACAACAUACUUAAAAUGGCUCAUGCUGCUUUUUAUCAGCUCAUUUUUUGCUCCAUUUUAAAGACUUUUGUCAUAGUUAUUUUCUGAAAAUGUCUGCAUGAUACAUGAUAUUUCCAAAUCUGAAUUAUGGCAGAGAGUGAUAUAUUAUGGCAAUGACUUAAUUAUUUAAAAAAAAUGUGUGCAAGCUUUUCUGGGAAGACGGUAGCAUUGGUAGGGCUACAACUUGGUACUGAACUGCGUGUGUGUGUGUGUGUGUGUGUGUGGUUUACUGGCAGAUUUCUUGCAGCACUGAAAUAUUCCCGCCAAGUUCUCCUUAUUAACCAUGUUGUUUUGCAUCUUUAACUGUGAAUGUUUUAAUGUGGUUAUAGUUGUGAAAGGUACUCUGUGCUUUCGACACCUUUCCAUCUUCUUGUAUUAUUUUCAAGUCAUGUUCAGUAAUAAUUUAUACUUGUAAAACUUAUUUGGCAGUUAAUGAACCGAGCUUCAUAGAGGAUAUGUUUUCUGCCAACUAGUUUGACAUUUUGGAGAAAAGGGAGGCUCCAAACAGGAUUAAAAUUCUAAACCUGAUGAAAAAGGGAUAAACUAUAUCAUGUGCCUUUAAGAUAUGAUUCAGAAAAGUCAGCCUGGUAAAUUCAGUUUGGGGAUGAUUUCUUUCUGAUAUUUAAAAAUAAACAGCUUUCUAUUCUUUAUUCAAGAGCUUGCCAUCAAUUGAAGUCAUUAUUUGAUAGAAAAAUAGCUAAAGAGUUUGGUUUUUUAAAUUUUGCUAUCAAUCGUAUUUAGAAUAUUUAGCAUUUGCAGAAACAAUUUAGUAAUCCGGAGUGCUAAGGACACUAGAUAAGUUUUUUUUUAAAUCUGCUAUUUAAGGACAAUGAAGCUAAGAGAUUAUUACUUGUAAAAUUUACCGUAGAAAAAUAACUGGUUUCAUUUAUUGCUGACCAUAAGUACAAUUGUAUAUUUAAUGUUAUGAAUUAUAAUAUAUA
This 3973-nucleotide long non-coding RNA is filed under the name Sus scrofa (pig). Its description in RNAcentral is "lncRNA (ENSSSCG00060017817.1)". Lineage: Eukaryota; Metazoa; Chordata; Mammalia; Artiodactyla; Suidae. The record is from RNAcentral.